This 237-nucleotide unclassified non-coding RNA is filed under the name uncultured fungus. Its description in RNAcentral is "partial contains 18S rRNA, ITS1, 5.8S rRNA, ITS2 and 28S rRNA". Lineage: Eukaryota; Fungi. The record is from RNAcentral.
AAGGAUCAUUAUUGAGUUUUAUAAGGAGAUUUGCUUUUUGGCAUCUCUCUUUUUUCUCUCUUUUUCACCCUUUUGUUAUCAUUUUUCUCAGUUGCUUUGGCAGGUGGAUUUGUUCUCCUGCCAAGGGAUUUUUCUAAACACAUUUUUGUUAUCCAAUAAUCGGGAUAUCUCUCGUCUGAUUUCUUAUGACUUUUGAAUAAGUACAUAAAACUUUCAACAACGGAUCUCUUGGUUCUG